Peromyscus maniculatus bairdii (prairie deer mouse) is the source of this 2145-nucleotide long non-coding RNA. RefSeq lists it as uncharacterized. NCBI's taxonomy places the organism in Eukaryota, Metazoa, Chordata, Mammalia, Rodentia, Cricetidae. The record is from RefSeq and is a predicted model, not a curated record.
CGAACCGCCGCCAUGACCAGCAGCAUGUGAAGACGCCGGUAAGCCACCAGCCACGUGGCAAGAGACUUCAUGAGGUCCUGCUGGAGUUCCGUUUGCACACAUUUCCCACUGGCUGUGAUGAGUUAGACUCAGCGGAGCAUUUGCAUUUACCUGUAACUUUAGCUGGAAGCUGACAAGUGUCUCACAUCAGAGAAUAACACAACAGUCCAAUUCAUGGAGAUCUGAGCCUUAUACUGGAUGUGUUAAACUGGAUCAUACCUGAAAAACUAUGGCUUUUUACAAAUGACUCAUUCUGUUGACCCACUGGGAACAACAACAACAAGACUUUGUAAAUUUUGCAUGAGAACUACACAAGGAAAUUCAAGAAACAAUUUUCUGAAGCCUGGGGUGCCAGCUUCUACAGCACCGAUCUCCGAAGGAGAUUUACUAGACUAUGCUGCUGAGUUCCCUGGCUCUAUACUCCAGAACACAACUGGGUGGAGGAAAGUGGCAUUGAGUACUGUGUUUCUGACUGGUACCCACACCCACAAAAGGAGAGUUCCAUCAGCAGCUGGGCAUCCUUUCCAAGAUGAGCUUAGAGCUGCUUCCUAGAAGAGGCAGACUCUAACGUUACCAAGUUAAAAUAAAAUGUAAGAAGAAAAACUGAUUUCCAAAACUCAAAGUCAUUCUAUUUCUCUCAUGAAAGAUACCAUUGACAUUCAUGUAACUGGGAAUGACAAAAGAUGAAGAAAGGAUCGAGUGAAAGAAAACCAAUCCUGGAGGCUGUCCUCAUGCCACAGGCCCAUGGGCACACUGGAAGAGCACCGUGAGUGUGUGCUUCUAAAUCACCACCACAUAGAUUUUACAACUCUUCUCCUAUAAGAUGAUAUGUGAAGCAUGCCGAGAUUCUGGGACUGGUAGGACAUUCAUUUCUGGAACAUGGACUGUUUGGGCAGUUCUGUGAUCAGACACUUUGCUUCUGCUAAUGAGUGCCCAGAGUGACAAUGUGCUGCCUGCUCCAGCCUCACAGGCUCAUCAGGUCCAAAUGUGCCCCUUUUGGACAGUCAGCCAGUGGAUAUCUGUAGACUGUGAUGGAUGCUCAGGAAUGAGGAUUCUGUCUUUUCACUUUACCAGUAAGUCAGUGUUCAGAGUCCUAGUUAAUUUUCUGUACAGCUUGCUCUUCGGCCUGCUCAGUAAAGGAUCAGCUUUGCAUCCGGCAUUUCAAGGCCAUACUCUUCAGAGUAGAACUCAGCUAACACUUGGGGAAAGCAUGAAGCUGAUGCUGUGUGGAAGAAGCAGAUGACAGAGGAAUCCAGGUGAUGAUUUAAAAGCAGGAGUUUCAAAAUCCUGCCUUCAGAAAGACUGUUUCGCAGUUGUUGCUGCACUGAAAUUUGAGCCCCACUGCUCCUAAAUUCCAUUACAGCCAAUUCACUUAUAAGUAAAACUGAUUUCUUUCUUCUAAAAGGCUAGGAUCGGGUUGGGAAAUAUGCCUUGAAAUAAAAUGUCUUACUUGGUCAUGUACAGAACAAUAUAAAAAGAAGUCACCAUAAUUUAUGUGUGUCUCUCUGUGUGUUAAGUGGAAACAUGUUUUUAUAAGAGGAGAAAAAGGUGGGCAAGAAGCUGGAACUCACAUCUUAACUUAGGAAACAUUAUGGAUGCUAAAAUAUACUCCAUAUCCAGGACCGAGUCAAAAACUUCAUCAGGUAGUCUGGGGAAAGAAAGUGGAAAUGUAACCUCAUCUGGAACAACGGUGCUGUCUGAAAACACUGUUGGAUUAUCUGUGCUGGGGAGCAAGAAAUCAUGCCAGCUGUAAAGCAGACAGCUCAUUUACAUAUAAAAAGAACAAAUUUUGUUCAAAUCACUCUUGUCAGCACCAGAAGACGUCCAUUCUUGAACUCAUCCCCUGCUCCCUCGGCUUCUCUGGUGUUGAUCCUUAGAAAAUCCUAUUUUGUCUUGUUUUCAUGAAUAUUACUGAGAUGGCUCAGAUUCCAUCUUAUAGCAACUGAAUCAUAAACAAGUCUGUGCUCGAGUCUCUUUGGAUUUUGAUAUCUCACACCGACAUGCCACAAACUGUCAGCUGGCCUGGCAUCGCCUGGCAUUGCACACAGGCCUGGCUCUGUCUGUGUGUGCUCCCAUCCCACAUUCCACUUUGGAGAGACAACGAGC